Molecule: ribosomal RNA, 502 nt
Filed under: uncultured bacterium
Lineage: Bacteria
Description: partial 16S ribosomal RNA
Rfam family: Bacterial small subunit ribosomal RNA
Source: RNAcentral
AUUGAACGCUGGCGGCAUGCCUUACACAUGCAAGUCGAACGGCAGCAUAGGAGCUUGCUCCUGAUGGCGAGUGGCGAACGGGUGAGUAAUAUAUCGGAACGUGCCCUAGAGUGGGGGAUAGCUAGUCGAAAGACUAGCUAAUACCGCAUACGAUCUACGGAUGAAAGUGGGGGAUCGCAAGACCUCAUGCUCCUGGAGCGGCCGAUAUCUGAUUAGCUAGUUGGUGGGGUAAAAGCCUACCAAGGCGACGAUCAGUAGCUGGUCUGAGAGGACGACCAGCCACACUGGGACUGAGACACGGCCCAGACUCCUACGGGAGGCAGCAGUGGGGAAUUUUGGACAAUGGGGGCAACCCUGAUCCAGCAAUGCCGCGUGAGUGAAGAAGGCCUUCGGGUUGUAAAGCUCUUUUGUCAGGGAAGAAACGGUAGUAGCUAAUAUCUAUUACUAAUGACGGUACCUGAAGAAUAAGCACCGGCUAACUACGUGCCAGCAGCCGCGGUAA